GAUGAACGCUAGCGGGAGGCUUAAUACAUGCAAGUCGAGGGGUAACAGGGGCUUCGGCCCGCUGACGACCGGCGCACGGGUGAGUAACGCGUACGCAACUUACCUCCAAGCGAGGGAUAGCCCUGGGAAACUGGGAUUAAUACCUCAUGUGAUUAUGAUGCCGCAUGGUGUUAUAAUUAAAGUUCAGGCGCUUGGAGAUGGGCGUGCGUCCUAUUAGCUAGUUGGUGAGGUAACGGCUCACCAAGGCGACGAUAGGUAGGGGGCGUGAGAGCGUGGCCCCCCACACGGGUACUGAGACACGGACCCGACUCCUACGGGAGGCAGCAGUAAGGAAUAUUGGACAAUGGGCGCAAGCCUGAUCCAGCCAUCCCGCGUGCAGGAUGACAGCCCUACGGGUUGUAAACUGCUUUUGUUAGGGAAGAAACCCCUCGAUUUAUCGGGGGCUGACGGUACCUUUCGAAUAAGCACCGGCUAACUCCGUGCCAGGAGCCGCGGUAAAGUGUGACUGU
RNAcentral lists this ribosomal RNA (509 nucleotides) under uncultured bacterium. RNAcentral's name for it is "bacterial SSU rRNA". It matches the Rfam family "Bacterial small subunit ribosomal RNA", at positions 28 to 533 of the family's 1533-position model. The record is from RNAcentral.